UGGGGAAUAUUGCACAAUGGGCGCAAGCCUGAUGCAGCCAUGCCGCGUGUAUGAAGAAGGCCUUCGGGUUGUAAAGUACUUUCAGCGGGGAGGAAGGGAGUAAAGUUAAUACCUUUGCUCAUUGACGUUACCCGCAGAAGAAGCACCGGCUAACUCCGUGCCAGCAGCCGCGGUAAUACGGAGGGUGCAAGCGUUAAUCGGAAUUACUGGGCGUAAAGCGCACGCAGGCGGUUGAUUGAGUCAGAUGUGUAAUCCCCGGGCUUAACCCGGGAAUUGCAUCUGAUACUGGUCAGCUAGAGUCUUGUAGAGGGGGGUAGAAUUCCAUGUGUAGCGGUGAAAUGCGUAGAGAUGUGGAGGAAUACCGGUGGCGAAGGCGGCCCCCUGGACAAAGACUGACGCUCAGGUGCGAAAGCGUGGGGAGCAAACAGG
RNAcentral lists this ribosomal RNA (429 nucleotides) under Chloroflexota bacterium. RNAcentral's name for it is "Chloroflexi bacterium partial 16S ribosomal RNA". It matches the Rfam family "Bacterial small subunit ribosomal RNA", at positions 355 to 776 of the family's 1533-position model. The record is from RNAcentral. Lineage: Bacteria; Bacillati; Chloroflexota.